This 253-nucleotide ribosomal RNA is filed under the name uncultured bacterium. Its description in RNAcentral is "partial 16S ribosomal RNA". It matches the Rfam family "Bacterial small subunit ribosomal RNA", at positions 524 to 776 of the family's 1533-position model. The record is from RNAcentral.
UACGGAGGGUGCGAGCGUUAAUCGGAAUUACUGGGCGUAAAGCGCACGCAGGCGGUUUGUUAAGCUAGAUGUGAAAGCCCCGGGCUCAACCUGGGAUGGUCAUUUAGAACUGGCAGACUAGAGUCUUGGAGAGGGGUGUGGAAUUCCAGGUGUAGCGGUGAAAUGCGUAGAUAUCUGGAGGAACAUCAGUGGCGAAGGCGACUCCCUGGCCAAAGACUGACGCUCAUGUGCGAAAGUGUGGGUAGCGAACAGG